RNAcentral lists this long non-coding RNA (1143 nucleotides) under Piliocolobus tephrosceles (Ugandan red Colobus). Its description in RNAcentral is "lncRNA (ENSPTEG00000024064.1)". Lineage: Eukaryota; Metazoa; Chordata; Mammalia; Primates; Cercopithecidae. The record is from RNAcentral.
CAUAUGUAUACGUAUAUAUAUUUUUUUUCUUUUUUUCUCAUUUCUUAUGCAGAAUACAAUUCGUUAAAUAUACUUAUGAAUGACACUCCAAAAGGGAACAAAGACGAUUUCUUUGACCUAAACCUAAUCGAAGAAAAAAAAGAUGAAAAGACUAUUAAUAUAACCCCUUUAAAAAUAUAUGACAAAAAUAACAUUGAAAUUAUGUUCCAAUUUGAUAAGGAAAGUUUAGAUUCGGAGAGUACUAAUAUAAAAGCUACUUAUUCGAACAAAUCGGACAAGCUUAUACCUUACUUUGUUUUUGAAGUAAUCAACACUUCUUCCGGUUUUGUUUGCAUUUUUUGCGUUUUUUAUUUUUACAAUGAUUGCUCAUUUAUAAUCUCCCAUUUUAUUCUACAUACGACACAUGUUUUUUCAAUUUCUAAUAUAUAUUUGUGGAUUUUUUUUUUUUUUUUUUUAACAGGCUGUUGUUCCUAAUUAUGUCAAACUGAACAUAUUUAAAGCUUCGUCAACUGAAUUGUUACCCUUCGAAGAAAACAAAAUAACACAAAAUAUGCUAAUUGUUAACAAACUUUUUAAAAAAAAAACCAGUCCUUAUGAAAGUUAGGAUAUCAUAUACAAAAGACAACGAAAAAAUACAAGAUUUUAUUAAUAUAGGGAAUUUUCCUGAUGUUUUAUAAUAUAUAUAUACACAUGUGUAAAUAUACAUAUGUGUAAAUAUACACAUGUGUAAAUAUACAUAUGUGUAAAUAUACAUAUGUGUAAAUAUACAUAUAUAUAUAUAUAUAACGAAGAAAAAAAAAAAAAAACUUUGUCCCUAUUCCCUUUCACAUUUUAUUUUUUAUAAAAAAUUAGAAAAAACAUUAACACAUAUGGACAUAUAACAUAUGGGUAUGUAUGUCACAUAUGAAUGUUGUUCCACAUACAUUCAUUCGUUCACUCAUCUAAUCAUACAAUUACCCAAUCGUUCAUUUUUUUUUUUUUUUUUUUUUUUUUUUUGGUAUUUUAUUACGCUUGUAUUUGUUACUUUAUUCGAUUAUUAUAUUAUGUUUGAUAAUUAUAUUUUGUUCGAUAAUUAUAUUUUGUUCGAUAAUUAUAUUAUGUUCGAUAAUUAUAUUCUGUUCGAUUAUUUUAUUAUGUUCGAUU